This 420-nucleotide ribosomal RNA is filed under the name uncultured bacterium. RNAcentral describes it as "bacterial SSU rRNA". It matches the Rfam family "Bacterial small subunit ribosomal RNA", at positions 356 to 773 of the family's 1533-position model. The record is from RNAcentral.
GAGGAAUAUUGGACAAUGGGCGCAAGCCUGAUCCAGCCAUGCCGCGUGCAGGAUGACGGUCCUAUGGAUUGUAAACUGCUUUUAUACGAGAAGAAACACUCCUACGUGUAGGAGCUUGACGGUAUCGUAAGAAUAAGGAUCGGCUAACUCCGUGCCAGCAGCCGCGGUAAUACGGAGGAUCCAAGCGUUAUCCGGAAUCAUUGGGUUUAAAGGGUCCGUAGGCGGUUUGGUAAGUCAGUGGUGAAAGCCCAUCGCUCAACGGUGGAACGGCCAUUGAUACUGCCAGACUUGAAUUACUGGGAAGUAACUAGAAUAUGUAGUGUAGCGGUGAAAUGCUUAGAGAUUACAUGGAAUACCAAUUGCGAAGGCAGGUUACUACCAGUGGAUUGACGCUGAUGGACGAAAGCGUGGGUAGCGAAC